UACGUAGGGGGCAAGCGUUGUCCGGAUUUAUUGGGCGUAAAGAGCUCGUAGGCGGCUUGUCGCGUCGUCCGUGAAAACCCACAGCUCAACUGUGGGCUUGCGGUCGAUACGGGCAGGCUAGAGUUCGGUAGGGGAGACUGGAAUUCCUGGUGUAGCGGUGAAAUGCGCAGAUAUCAGGAGGAACACCGGUGGCGAAGGCGGCAUCCUGGACCGGCAUUGACGCUGAGGCGCGAAAGCCAGGGGAGCAAACGGG
Molecule: ribosomal RNA, 253 nt
Filed under: uncultured bacterium
Lineage: Bacteria
Description: partial 16S ribosomal RNA
Rfam family: Bacterial small subunit ribosomal RNA
Source: RNAcentral